UGAAAUAUGUGACAGAUGGGUGCACCAGGACACUCUUUGACCACCAGAUUGAGAGUAUUUCGCCUGAAAGUUGUGAGGCACCUUCCUCGUCACAGGUGAUGGAGGCAGUGGCAGGCGUAGAUGGUACUGAACCAGAUCAGAGGGAACUUGCAAGUCAUAGCAAGCCUGAAAGCUGCGAGGCACCUUCCUCGUCACAGGUGAUGGAGGCAGUGGCCGGCAUAGAUGGUACUGAACCAUAUCAGAGGGAACUUGCAAGUCAUAGCAAGGUCAGUUGUCUGUAUGUGUUAAAUGUUUACAAUAGUAUUAUAUGGACUUGAACUUCUGAGCAAAGAAAUUGACUUCACUGGGUUUUGAGUCUAGGAGCUGCAUGAUCAGCCCUAUAAUGGUUGUCUCCCAAUUUGUCAAUAUCUUUGUUUGUGAAGUACAAGUCAGACACUUCCUGUAUCCUUUACAGUGUGUUUCGGAAUUGGUACGUAUGAUAAGUAUAAAGUAUAACUAAUGGAACAUAUUUGCUGUCAAACCAUAGAUGUGUCUUUCAAGGAUUUUUUCAGAUGGCUUGAAAUUGAACAUUGAAUUAAGCUCGCUUAGAAUUUCCUUCAGGACCUGUAUAACAUGGUAUUAUUGUCUCACCUGAACAAAGUACAAAA
This is a long non-coding RNA of Patiria miniata (bat star), 647 nucleotides long. RefSeq lists it as uncharacterized. The record is from RefSeq and is a predicted model, not a curated record. The transcript is spliced from 3 exons. NCBI's taxonomy places the organism in Eukaryota, Metazoa, Echinodermata, Asteroidea, Valvatida, Asterinidae.